AUGUACCUACGUACACGCCGGUUCCUCCGCGCCCUCCGCACCCACCGGACGGCUGCUUGCUCCGUUUUGUUAGUC
This 75-nucleotide small RNA is filed under the name Xanthomonas campestris. RNAcentral describes it as "sRNA sX9". It matches the Rfam family "Xanthomonas sRNA sX9". Lineage: Bacteria; Pseudomonadati; Pseudomonadota; Gammaproteobacteria; Lysobacterales; Lysobacteraceae. The record is from RNAcentral. RNAcentral also lists the same sequence under 4 other names.